GAUGAAGAACGUAGCGAAAUGCGAUAAGUAAUGUGAAUUGCAGAAUUCAGUGAAUCAUCGAAUCUUUGAACGCACAUUGCGCCCGCCAGUAUUCUGGCGGGCAUGCCUGUUCGAGCGUCAUUUCAACCCUCAGGCCCCCAGUGCCUGGUGUUGGGGAUCGGCCCAGCCUUCCUGUAAGGCCGCCGGCCCCGAAAUCUAGUGGCGGUCUCGCUGUAGUCCUCCUCUGCGUAGUAGCACAACCUCGCAGUUGGAACGCGGCAGUGGCCAUGCCGUUAAACACCCCACUUCUGAAAGUUGACCUCGGAUCAGGUAGGAAUACCCGCUGAACUUAAGCAUAUCAAUAAGCGGAGGA
Molecule: unclassified non-coding RNA, 352 nt
Filed under: soil metagenome
Description: partial contains 5.8S ribosomal RNA, internal transcribed spacer 2, and large subunit ribosomal RNA
Rfam family: 5.8S ribosomal RNA (bases 1-120)
Source: RNAcentral